This is a long non-coding RNA of Erpetoichthys calabaricus (reedfish), 284 nucleotides long. RefSeq lists it as uncharacterized. Lineage: Eukaryota; Metazoa; Chordata; Cladistia; Polypteriformes; Polypteridae. The record is from RefSeq and is a predicted model, not a curated record. The transcript has 2 exons.
UUCAUGGCGGCUACCACAUGCUAUGCCUACAGAUCAGUUUACUUGCGUAAAUUCAGUUUAGUGCUUGGCGCACAGCAAAUUCAGAUUUUGCCUUUUGGAACUUUCUAGAUUUUGUUUUUUUUUUUCCAAAUAUUUUAGAUUUGUUUGGUUGGACUCACAAAUGCGGAACCUGUGGAUAUGGAAACACCGACUAUACUAUUAUGAGCGAAAGACUUCACUUUUUGAUUGUUAAGAAAUGAGCAAACCUUUCAGAAGACAUCUUAUCACUUUGUCAUUAUGGGUUA